GGAGGAGUAGCGAAGUGGCUAAACGCAACGGACUGUAAAUCCGUUCCUUAGGGUUCAGUGGUUCGAAUCCACUCUCCUCCA
This 81-nucleotide transfer RNA is filed under the name Enterococcus faecium. RNAcentral describes it as "tRNA-Tyr". It matches the Rfam family "tRNA". From Rfam's summary of the family: Transfer RNA (tRNA) molecules are approximately 80 nucleotides in length. Their secondary structure includes four short double-helical elements and three loops (D, anti-codon, and T loops). Lineage: Bacteria; Bacillati; Bacillota; Bacilli; Lactobacillales; Enterococcaceae. The record is from RNAcentral. RNAcentral also lists the same sequence under 1 other name.